GCUGCCUUAUUAUAAGAUAGAGUAUUACUUCUUUUCGUGGAGUGGGUGUAUUUAUUACAGGUGGAU
This 66-nucleotide transfer RNA is filed under the name Eudiplozoon nipponicum. Its description in RNAcentral is "tRNA-Glu". The record is from RNAcentral. Lineage: Eukaryota; Metazoa; Platyhelminthes; Monogenea; Mazocraeidea; Diplozoidae.